This 160-nucleotide ribosomal RNA is filed under the name uncultured bacterium. RNAcentral's name for it is "partial 16S ribosomal RNA". The record is from RNAcentral.
CACGGAGUUAGCCGGUGCUUCUUCUGCGGGUAACGUCAAUCGACACGGUUAUUAACCGCAUCGCCUUCCUCCCCGCUGAAAGUACUUUACAACCCGAAGGCCUUCUUCAUACACGCGGCAUGGCUGCAUCAGGCUUGCGCCCAUUGUGCAAUAUUCCCCA